This 208-nucleotide long non-coding RNA is filed under the name Carica papaya (papaya). RNAcentral describes it as "long non-coding RNA (CPAP_LNC007196)". Lineage: Eukaryota; Viridiplantae; Streptophyta; Magnoliopsida; Brassicales; Caricaceae. The record is from RNAcentral.
AAUAGAAACAGAAAAAAUCGAAAUUGAUCGAUCUAUUUCUCGAAACAAACGAAAAGAAAACAAAAAGUGAAACAUAAAUUAUGGAUCAACUAAGCCCUCUCGGGGAAUUGCAUGAGAAUAAAAAAGAGGAAUCUCGUGUAAAUACCAUGGAAUAAGGUUUGAUCUUAUUCAUAGGGAUUCCGUAAAUAUUCCAUUCCAAAAAUAGAAA